UACGUAGGUGGCAAGCGUUAUCCGGAUUUAUUGGGUGUAAAGGGCGUGUAGGCGGGAAUGCAAGUCAGAUGUGAAAACUAUGGGCUCAACCCAUAGCCUGCAUUUGAAACUGUAUUUCUUGAGUGCUGGAGAGGCAAUCGGAAUUCCGUGUGUAGCGGUGAAAUGCGUAGAUAUAUGGAAGAACACCAGUGGCGAAAGCGGCUCUCUGGUCUGUAACUGACGCUGAGGUUCGAAAGCGUGGGUAGCAAACAGG
This 253-nucleotide ribosomal RNA is filed under the name uncultured bacterium. RNAcentral's name for it is "partial 16S ribosomal RNA". It matches the Rfam family "Bacterial small subunit ribosomal RNA", at positions 524 to 776 of the family's 1533-position model. The record is from RNAcentral.